CGGAGAGCGAUGAGGGGUAUCCAGAGAUGGGGGAGAGGUCACUGGGGAGCGGGGAGAGCGAUUUAAAUGCUACACGUGCUCCUCAGGCUGUCGAUGACGUGCUGCUCAGGUCGGCAUAGGAGCAUGAAACGUCAGAAGAGUCAACGUGCAUCAUGUGGAGAAACAGCGGGACUCUACAGCUGGCAGGAUGACGGCAUGAAAAAUGAGGUAGCCCACACCUGGUCAACUCGCACAGCUGCUCACAUCUCAACUAUAAGCGGGCAAACCUUGGUAUGAAUCCUGAGAGAAAACACACACACACACACACACACACACACACACACACACACACACACACACAC
Cottoperca gobio is the source of this 341-nucleotide long non-coding RNA. RefSeq lists it as uncharacterized. NCBI's taxonomy places the organism in Eukaryota, Metazoa, Chordata, Actinopteri, Perciformes, Bovichtidae. The record is from RefSeq and is a predicted model, not a curated record. The transcript has 3 exons.